RNAcentral lists this ribosomal RNA (402 nucleotides) under uncultured prokaryote. Its description in RNAcentral is "bacterial SSU rRNA". It matches the Rfam family "Bacterial small subunit ribosomal RNA", at positions 355 to 774 of the family's 1533-position model. The record is from RNAcentral.
UAGGGAAUAUUAGUAAUGGGCGAAAGCCUGAACUAGCAACACCGCGUGUGCGAAGAAGGCCUUCGGGUUGUAAAGCACUUUUUGAGAGGAUGGGGAAGGACGGUACUCUCAGAAUAAGUCUCGGCUAACUACGUGCCAGCAGCCGCGGUAACACGUAGGAGGCAAACGUUAUCCGGAUUUACUGGGCGUAAAGCGCGUGUAGGUGGUUUGGUAAGUAGAGCGUGAAAGCUCCUGGCUCAACUGGGAGAGGUCGUUCUAAACUGCCGGACUAGAGGAUGGUAGAGGGAGGUGUAAUUCCGGGUGUAGCGGUGGAAUGCGCAGAUAUCCGGAGGAACACCAGUGGCGAAAGCUGCCUCCUGGACCACUCCUGACACUCAGACGCGAAAGCUAGGGUAGCAAACG